UACAGAGGUGGCAAGCGUUGUUCGGAAUUACUGGGCGUAAAGGGCGCGUAGGCGGCUUGGUCAGUCCCGUGUGAAAUCCCUCGGCUCAACUGAGGAACUGCACGGGAAACUGCCUGGCUUGAGUUCGGGAGAGGGAAGCGGAAUUCCGGGUGUAGCGGUGAAAUGCGUAGAUAUCCGGAGGAACACCGGUGGCGAAGGCGGGUCUCUGGGCCGAUACUGACGCUGAGGAGCGAAAGCGUGGGGAGCGAACAGG
RNAcentral lists this ribosomal RNA (253 nucleotides) under uncultured bacterium. RNAcentral's name for it is "partial 16S ribosomal RNA". It matches the Rfam family "Bacterial small subunit ribosomal RNA", at positions 524 to 776 of the family's 1533-position model. The record is from RNAcentral.